GCUGGAGAAGCCGGGGGAAAUCCAAUCAAUUGGGGCUCUGGUCUCCUCUGGGCGAGGGCGACGGCCUUGGCCUGGCUGCGGCCAGCCGUCCUUCGGGAACCGGCGUUGGUGGGCAGCCGAGUACGGAGUAGCAGAUCGACGGAUCAUGGAUGGAUGGAUACACGGAGGAGCUCAUAGGCCAAAUUACCUCACGGGGGUCACUCAUGGUUCUGCCGUUCGGGCUUCGGUUGGUAAGGGCGGCUGUCAGCUGCGAGUGGAUCGCGCUGGCUGUCGAUGGGGGUUAGCAGUGAAAUUCAUUUGUCCAGCGAUGGCUUUGAUGCGCGGCUCGGUCCAGAUUCACCGGGAGUUCGAGGGGAUCGUAUAUAUGAGCCUCUGCCACGGGCUGCAGGUUGGAGUGAGUACUCUUUAGUUGAUGGCACUAGUGAACUCAUCGGUAUUGAAUACCAAGGUGCACCGGAAGUGGAUGUCGCAAGAACGCAGGUUUGGAUGCUCCCGAGCUUGUUCUGAUAUUGGCCUACGAAGAUCAAAUUCUGUGGUUGAAUGAAAUCAACUGAAGGUGAGGUUUGGCUUUCAUCUACACCAAAGCUAGGCAUGCUGGCAAUAUAUGUUCCUGUUGUCGUCGUUCCCCCGCUUCCGACUGCCAUCUCUAGCUGCUGCUUUGUGUCGGAAAGAAGAAAUAUUUUUUGUUGCAGGUGUGAGGGCUCAGAUGAACACAUGAGGAUGCCUUGAGGUCUCAAAUAAAUUUCAAAUAUUUUUUUAUGCCUUGACGGCCCAUGGAUUUGUAUUAUG
Molecule: long non-coding RNA, 789 nt
Organism: Phragmites australis (common reed)
Lineage: Eukaryota; Viridiplantae; Streptophyta; Magnoliopsida; Poales; Poaceae
Exons: 3
Source: RefSeq, a predicted model, not a curated record